RNAcentral lists this ribosomal RNA (458 nucleotides) under uncultured bacterium. RNAcentral's name for it is "partial 16S ribosomal RNA". It matches the Rfam family "Bacterial small subunit ribosomal RNA", at positions 338 to 795 of the family's 1533-position model. The record is from RNAcentral.
CCUACGGGUGGCAGCAGUGGGGAAUAUUGCACAAUGGGGGAAACCCUGAUGCAGCGACGCCGCGUGAGUUAAGAAGUAUUUCGGUAUGUAAAGCUCUAUCAGCAGGGAAGAAAUACUGACCUUACGGUCAGCAGACGGUACCUUACUAAGAAGCCCCGUCUAACUACGUUCCAGCAGCCGCGGUAAUACGUAGGGGGCAAGCGUUAUCCUGAUUUACUGGUUGUAAAGGGAGCGUAGACGGCAGCGCAAGUCUUAAGUGAAAUCCCAUGGCUUAACCAUGGAAUGGCUUUGGAAACUGUGCAGCUGGAGUGCAGGAGAGGUAAGCGGAAUUCCGAGUGUAGCGGUGAAAGGCGUAGAUAUUAGGAGGAACACCAGGGGCGAAGGCGGCUUACUGGACUGUAACUGACGUUGAGGCUCGAAAGCGUGGGGAGCAAACAGGAUUAGAUACCCGGGUAGUC